This is a small nuclear RNA of Cercocebus atys (sooty mangabey), 111 nucleotides long. NCBI's taxonomy places the organism in Eukaryota, Metazoa, Chordata, Mammalia, Primates, Cercopithecidae. The record is from Ensembl.
GUGCUAAUACAUAUUAGCGUAGCACAUAACACUAAAAUUGGAAUGAUACAGAGAUUAGAAUGGCUCUUCUGCAAGGAUGACACACAAAUUUGUGAAGUGUCCUCUGAAGAG